RNAcentral lists this ribosomal RNA (631 nucleotides) under uncultured Burkholderiales bacterium. RNAcentral's name for it is "bacterial SSU rRNA". It matches the Rfam family "Bacterial small subunit ribosomal RNA", at positions 64 to 690 of the family's 1533-position model. Lineage: Bacteria; Pseudomonadati; Pseudomonadota; Betaproteobacteria; Burkholderiales. The record is from RNAcentral.
GAACGGCAGCGCGGGCUUCGGCCUGGCGGCGAGUGGCGGACGGGUGAGUAAUGCAUCGGAACGUGCCCAGGAGUGGGGGAUAACGUAGCGAAAGUUACGCUAAUACCGCAUACGUACUGAGGUAGAAAGCGGGGGAUCGAAAGACCUCGCGCUCAUGGAGCGGCCGAUGUCGGAUUAGCUAGUUGGCGGGGUAAAAGCCCACCAAGGCGACGAUCCGUAGCUGGUCUGAGAGGACGACCAGCCACACUGGGACUGAGACACGGCCCAGACUCCUACGGGAGGCAGCAGUGGGGAAUCUUGGACAAUGGGGGAAACCCUGAUCCAGCAAUGCCGCGUGUGGGAUGAAGGCCCUCGGGUUGUAAACCACUUUUGGCAGGAAAGAAAUCGCCUGUGCUAAUACCACAGGCGGAUGACGGUACCUGCAGAAUAAGCACCGGCUAACUACGUGCCAGCAGCCGCGGUAAUACGUAGGGUGCGAGCGUUAAUCGGAAUUACUGGGCGUAAAGAGUGCGUAGGCGGUUUUGUAAGACAGAUGUGAAAUCCCCGGGCUUAACCUGGGAACUGCAUUUGUGACUGCAAGACUAGAGUGUGUCAGAGGGAGGUGGAAUUCCGCGUGUAGCAGUGAAAUGCG